Bos taurus (domestic cattle) is the source of this 1245-nucleotide long non-coding RNA. The record is from Ensembl. Lineage: Eukaryota; Metazoa; Chordata; Mammalia; Artiodactyla; Bovidae.
GUGACCAACCUUUUCAGUUCACGCCUUCCCAUGAGGGAUUGCCCCACAGACCUUUGUGGCAUAAAUCAUAUUUCAACACUGUAAUCAGUAAAACUUUCAUACAUACCACAAACUUUCACACACACAUUCCUAGGCAUACACAGAAUAAAGAGAAACAUUUGUCUCAGAGACUUACAAGCAAAUAAAUAUAAACACACAGGACUAAUUCAAUAAAGGAGAGGAGGAAACUAUUAUACAAUAACAAAAAAGGCAAUGCUCAAGAGACUCAAAUACCACCAAAGAGAGCACCUAAAUGAGGUUGAAUUGUGUGUGUUUGUCGCUCAGUCCUGUCCAGCUCUAUGCGACCCCAUGGACUGGAAUCCAUCAGGUUCCUCUGUCCAUGGGAUUUCCCAGGAAAAAGGAGCCAAAGGAACACAGAAGAAGGGGUAACAAAUUCAGCUUGGAGGACACGGUUAAGUCAUCCUUGAGAAGGUGACGUUUUAGUUAGGCUUUGAAGGGUAAAUAAGAAUUCCCAAGGAAGAAAGGGAAGAGAAUUCCAGGCAGAGGAACAGCAAGCGUGAAAGUGGGGAGGUAAGAAGGAGCACAGUGUUUCCAGGAAAGGGCAAUUGAAGAGCAGGCACCCAGGAGGCCUUCGAGUCAGUGCCCAGCAACAGCAUCUCAGAGGGGGACACACUCAGCCCGAGGCAGGGGCAUGACUGUGACGCCAAGGCCAGCCUGAAGACUUCCUGGACAAGAUUCUGAGCAUGAGGAUUCUCUGCUCUUCGAACUUGGAGAGCGACUUGAACAUUACUCCAAGCCCCCUCUCGCAAUUCAUUUCAUCUCCAGGCAGCACCUGCCCAUUGGCUACCCACUCUGGCCUCGGCCCGGAGCACACCCACCCAUCCCUCACCCUGAGUGCUCCUGCCUCCGUUUGAUCUCAGAAAGGACAGGCUUCUUGCCUGGCUCGUGUCCACUUGGGCCUCGGUCUUGGAGACUGAAGGCGAGAUUUGGCAGGAGGCGAGGCCAGGGGAAACCUAGGACAGAGGCUUUCACUGCCCACAGAAGCCUCCGAUGCCAGCUCGGAUGUCAACAGCUCAACCUCAAGAUUAGCUGUUUCCCAAAAUUCCCCAGGUGGUGAAGAGAGCGAGAGACCAGCGUAACUUGAAAACAUGUUUUCUGGCAGAGGAUUAUUGGCAGAGCAACCAAACUGGGGCCACUUAUUGUCCUUACAUGUAAAGUAGCUUAGUGCUUGGCCCUGGCCUACCU